This 253-nucleotide ribosomal RNA is filed under the name uncultured bacterium. RNAcentral describes it as "partial 16S ribosomal RNA". It matches the Rfam family "Bacterial small subunit ribosomal RNA", at positions 524 to 776 of the family's 1533-position model. The record is from RNAcentral.
UACGGGGGGAGCAAGCGUUGUUCGGAUUUACUGGGCGUAAAGGGCGCGUAGGCGGCAUGACAAGUCACUUGUGAAAUCUCCGGGCUUAACUCGGAACGGUCAAGUGAUACUGUCGCGCUAGAGUGCGGAAGGGGCAAUCAGAAUUCUUGGUGUAGCGGUGAAAUGCGUAGAUAUCAGGAAGAACACCCGUGGCUAAGGCGGCUCUCUAGUACGGUACUGACGCUGAGACGCGAAAGCGUGGGGAGCGAACAGG